GACGAAGGAUGCAAGCGUUAUCCGGAGUCAUUGGGGUUAAAGGGCGCGUAGGUGGACUGGUAAGUCAGUGGUGAAAUCUCCGAGCUUAACUCGGAAAUUGCCAUUGAUACUGUCGGUCUUGAGUAUAGUUGCCGUUGGCGGAAUAUGACAUGUAGUGGUGAAAUACAUAGAGAUGUCAUAGAACACCGAUUGCGAAGGCAGCUGACGAAACUAUAACUGACACUGAGGCUCGAAAGUGUGGGGAUCAAACAGG
Molecule: ribosomal RNA, 253 nt
Filed under: uncultured bacterium
Lineage: Bacteria
Description: partial 16S ribosomal RNA
Rfam family: Bacterial small subunit ribosomal RNA
Source: RNAcentral